GAGUUUGAUCAUGGCUCAGGAUGAACGCUAGCGGCAGGCUUAACACAUGCAAGUCGAGGGGUAUUCUAGCAAUAGGAGAGACCGGCGCACGGGUGCGUAACGCGUAUGCAAUCUACCUUUCACAGAGGGAUAGCCCAGAGAAAUUUGGAUUAAUACCUCAUAGUAUAAUGACUCGGCAUCGAGAUAUUAUUAAAGUCACAACGGUGAAAGAUGAGCAUGCGUCCCAUUAGCUAGUUGGUAAGGUAACGGCUUACCAAGGCGACGAUGGGUAGGGGUCCUGAGAGGGAGAUCCCCCACACUGGCACUGAGACACGGACCAGACUCCUACGGGAGGCAGCAGUGAGGAAUAUUGGACAAUGGGCGCAAGCCUGAUCCAGCCAUGCCGCGUGCAGGAUGACGGUCCUAUGGAUUGUAAACUGCUUUUGCACAGGAAGAAACACUACCUCGUGAGGUAGCUUGACGGUACUGUGAGAAUAAGGAUCGGCUAACUCCGUGCC
This 497-nucleotide ribosomal RNA is filed under the name uncultured bacterium. RNAcentral describes it as "bacterial SSU rRNA". It matches the Rfam family "Bacterial small subunit ribosomal RNA", at positions 9 to 509 of the family's 1533-position model. The record is from RNAcentral.